Molecule: transfer RNA, 92 nt
Filed under: Caminicella sporogenes
Lineage: Bacteria; Bacillati; Bacillota; Clostridia; Peptostreptococcales; Caminicellaceae
Description: tRNA-Ser
Rfam family: tRNA
About the family: Transfer RNA (tRNA) molecules are approximately 80 nucleotides in length. Their secondary structure includes four short double-helical elements and three loops (D, anti-codon, and T loops).
Source: RNAcentral
GGAGAAGUACUCAAGUGGCUGAAGAGGACGGUUUGCUAAACCGUUAGGCCGGUUUCUCCGGCGCGCGGGUUCGAAUCCCGCCUUCUCCGCCA